RNAcentral lists this ribosomal RNA (330 nucleotides) under Marinilabilia salmonicolor. The record is from RNAcentral. Lineage: Bacteria; Pseudomonadati; Bacteroidota; Bacteroidia; Marinilabiliales; Marinilabiliaceae.
CAGGUGUAAAUACGGUGACGUAUGUAGCCGAGCAGUACUAAUUACCCAAAACUUUUAAGUUGGGGAGUUCAAUCUCCACACUGAAGCAUUAUUACAAUGAGCAAUGAUCAAUUAUCAAAGAUCAAUAAAUGUAAGUUUUCUUUUUGAAUCUUUUCCAAUAUGUUAACGAUAUUGCCUUCAAAUCCCCCUCCUUUGGGAGGGGUUAGGGGAGGCCCUCAUUAAGGUGGUUUUAGCAACAGGGUUCCACCUCUUCCCAUUCCGAACAGAGAAGUUAAGCCUGUUAGCGCCGAUGGUACUGCGUAAAAGCGGGAGAGUAGGUCGCCGCCGACC